Molecule: long non-coding RNA, 245 nt
Filed under: Phoenix dactylifera (date palm)
Lineage: Eukaryota; Viridiplantae; Streptophyta; Magnoliopsida; Arecales; Arecaceae
Description: long non-coding RNA (PDAC_LNC008410)
Source: RNAcentral
GCUUAAAAUAGUAUUAUUACUAACGGAUAACGAUAUUGUCACUAAUUUAAUAUUUUAAUUUUUGAUUGGGUGCAGGUGAUCAUAAAUCAAAGUUACAAUGCGUAUUUAGUAUAAAAUGGGCCUAGACAAAUGCAUAACUUAGACCACAUACGCCCAACCUCGUCAUGGUCUGAUCGAACCCACCAUUCUUCAAGCACGCUUGCACUCGAGGGAUAUAUGCCAGCCAUCCUAAGGCAACACGUAAU